This is a non-coding RNA of Meleagris gallopavo (turkey), 1475 nucleotides long. The record is from RefSeq and is a predicted model, not a curated record. Lineage: Eukaryota; Metazoa; Chordata; Aves; Galliformes; Phasianidae.
CCUGUCAGAGAUGUUUUGCAUGGUAAAUAUAGAUGUGCACACCUAAUUGCUUGCUUAGAGUCAUACAGAAGAGCACAUUAGCCACGGUUAUAAUGCACUUAGCCAAGUAAGCGGGUGAGAAAUACACACCCUGAGGGGAUUUGGGAGAAUUGGAUGGGUGAAGGUUGUGCCCACAAAGAGUACAAUUGGGUUGGUUUGUAUUUUAUGUGGGCCAACAGUGAACUGUUGUCAGUGCAUUUAUUGCUUUGCAGAAUGUAAAGUCACAGAUUCACAUAGAGCACCUUCAACAGGCAGUUCUCAUACUGCAGUGCAGGGCAGCUCAUUCUUGCCUUUAAUCAGAGCCCCAAAAUAUUUGGUGUAUUUUCUUAAGUUUCUGCUUGCGAAGCUAUGUGUCACCCCCAAACCUAAACUGUUCAAGCCCCAUCACACAGGAUUCCAGAACCUUCUGGUCUGUAAAUUCCUGUGAUUUCUGUAAAUUGCUGGCCUAAGAUUUUCACUGCUGGCCAUCGGUAGUACUGCUCACAUUUUCUUCACAAAACUAUGAGCUGGGCCACAUGGCUAGCCCCAGGAGUUUCGCCUGAAAGAGACUCACCCCUCAUUUGCACAACCCAGCUGAGAGCCCUUCGUUUUGCCCUAUGUCCGUCUGAUAAAUGUUACUGGGCACAAGGGCAGCAGCGUGGUCAGGGCUCCCAGAAAUCACUGCUGUAGGAAAAGAAAAAUCCUACCAGCAGUGCACAGCCUCGCAGAAUGAAUGCAGAGCUGUGAGGCAAACAGUCAUUUCUUUAUGACUCACUGACGGUCUCUGACCUUGAGGAAGUCACUUGACCUCUUUUUGCUUCUCUCAGCCCAUUUGAAAAAUAAAGAACAGGGACCACGAUCCAGUCCUGGUGGUGCAUUCAACCGAGUUUUCCCAAGUCAGUGGUUUGUAUUCUUUGAAAAUAAAGAUGAAUGUAGGAACAAUGCCUGCAGAAAAACAAGCUGGCCAAAUACCGCUCGUGUCCCAGUCUCCUUUCCACUCAUAUAACAUCUCGUGCGUAGUUGAAGCUAAAAUGUCUUUUGAACCACAAGUAGGUAGAGAGCAUCUACCUGCUACAAAUGCAACCACUGUCUCCAUUAAAUGCAACAAUAAUUUAUUCCAGUGUUACAGCCCGAAGGUUUCAGAAGAUCUGCCCAAAAGGAUCUCUGCAGAGAGGUGUAAGUCCCAGUCCUUCCAAAGCAGCAAAAUGCACAAACAUGCAGAAAUACUGGAGCUAAUCUUGGCAGGAAAAGCAGAAUCAGAGACAGAAUGAAGGACGAGGAGUGAUACUGGGAGAUGUGAAUGUUCCAUUCCGCCUCUCUGUGCUGACCAGUUGUAUUAGCUUCAUCAAACUUUCUUUGAACCUCAGUGUAUACAUCUGCAUUGAUGACCUCCUGGGAGUGCUGGAAGGCUUUGUUAUUUACAUGAAUGUCAAUUAAAUGUAAUGUGUUCAUCUCCA